Molecule: ribosomal RNA, 395 nt
Filed under: uncultured bacterium
Lineage: Bacteria
Description: bacterial SSU rRNA
Rfam family: Bacterial small subunit ribosomal RNA
Source: RNAcentral
AUUGAACGCUGGAGGCAUGCUUAACACAUGCAAGUCGAACGGCAGCAUGAUGUGUAGCAAUACACAUUGAUGGCGAGUGGCGGACGGGUGAGUAACGCGUAGGAAUCUGCCUUGAAGAGGGGGACAACCCGAGGAAACUCGGGCUAAUACCGCAUAAUAUCGAGAGAUUAAAGUCUGGGUGGUAACACCUGGAGCUUCAAGAGGAGCCUGCGUCCGAUUAGCUAGUUGGUGGGGUAAAGGCCUACCAAGGCGAUGAUCGGUAACUGGUCUGAGAGGAUGACCAGUCACACUGGGACUGAGACACGGCCCAGACUCCUACGGGAGGCAGCAGUGGGGAAUCUUGGACAAUGGGGCCAACCCUGAUCCAGCGAUGCCGCGUGUGUGAAGAAGGCCUC